AAAUUGAAUUGAAUUGAAUUGAAUUCAAAUGACGUAACUGGGUUUAUAAAAGAUUUAAAAAGAUAUGGCAACCAUUCAAACAUAAUAGAAACGAUCACCACAUCAGUACUGAUCUAUAGUCUUAAUUGGAACUGAAUCAACUUCUUUGACUUGGUGACAAAUUUGGCGAAAGAUGUUUAAAUGGCUUUUUGAAACCUCAUCUCACUGCCUCACAGUCAAAGUGUCUCUGUCAACGCCUAACAUUUAGCACAAGGAGCCGCGCAGCAUCCUAAACACUCGGUGGCAUUUGAAUAUCAGAUGAUGUAUUUGUUGGCACCAAACCAGCAGCAAAGUGAGCCACACAGACUGCUCAUCAUCUCAGAGGAUUCUUCUGCCAUUCCUGUCAGGAUGGAGAUAAUACCCAACAGAAACAGAGCAAAAUAUGAGUAAGGGGAACUUUAUCGCCACACAAAUACCACAAUAUUUAUUUGGUUGAAUGUUAUUAAGUAUUCAACCCAUUGUUUUCCUGUUUCUCUUUCUUUAUUCUAGUAUCUUCCGCCAUUUUUCUGCUGCUCAACUCCUACAAGUUUUCAGCUAUUUCAACCAUUCAACUAUUCAAAUGUUCAGCUCUUUCAGCUUUUUACAGCUAAGACUUUCGGUCCUUCAAAUCCUUGAACGUUUCCAGAUGUUCCAGGAUUUCGGCCUCCAUUGAAAUACAUGGGGAAUCCUUGGUGCAGAAGCUCACUGGUUCCAUACCUGGCGCUGACGCUUUUUUGUGAAUUUCUUUUGCAAAUUAUUACCCUUUAAGUUUGAUUUUCAUUCAGCAAUAUAGCAUUCAACCCUGCAUUUUCUUCUGGAAAUCCAGCUCCUAGUUUAUUUUAUUUUUUUAUUAUCGUCCUAAUGCAUUUGCUAAAUAAAAACAAAACAAAAAGAGAGACAAUGGGAUUUUAGGGUGGAUAGUUUUGGUCGUAUUAAACAUUUUUGUUUUUGAGGUUUUCCACUGUUUGAAGACGUUUGUGUCUGGCUGUUUUAGAUUACUUCAACUUCCCGCCUUACAAAGACAAGAAAAGAAACCAUGCAGACCUACAAAACAAACAAGAACUCCAAUAAAGACUUUCCUAAGCACCAUUUUAAAAAAAAAAGGUCAAAUAGUUGGAAGUUUAGAGUCAGCUUGGAUCCAAUAUUGGACCUAUUUAUUUAAGAAUUUAGAUUUAAGGAUGAUCACAUAAAUUCUUUCUUUCAACAGAUAAAACCAACUGAGGAAAGACAGCAGACAUAUGGAUGAACACAGAAGGAGAUAAAUCAACAGGUUCAUUUUAAAAGCUUCCCGUUUUCCCCUAAAAAACAAGUUUUCACACAUUAACCCACUCCUAAUAAAAAAAAAUAUUGUUUCUGGACAGAAAAAUGUUUAUCACAAAACUGCAUUUGCUCAGCUUGAUUAAUAUAAAAUAUAAAUGAUUAAUAUAAAGGUAAAACAUGUAAAAACAAUGUGUCUUGUCGCUUUUGUUGUAUCAGACGGGAAAAAUGUUGGACACACAAAAACAAGCAGUGAAAUGUUCCUGUUUUUAAGUUGGAUGAGGAGAAUCUUCUGAAAAUAUGUUUUUGUUCCCAUAAAAUAUGGGAGAGGAAGGUUACCCUGGGACAAGUACAUGGAAAAGUUUCAACUUCAACCACAUUCUGCCCAAUUAUAAAAUACACAGAAUGUGAAGACAAAAAGAGACGCUUUUUCCACCCACUACCUGGCAUCCACUUAUGAGUGAAAAUAACAGGGUUUAGUGGAAAACAACAGUGUCUGACAGAGAAAAUGACUCAUCCCUCCAUCUCUCGCUUUCUACUUUCCUCUUGUCUAGUUACCAGCUCCGGCACAUCAUGUCCAUUAAAACUCGGCUCAACCUAAAUGAGAACAUGGGCCCCAAUAACCUGCACCGCACGCUCGGGGUCAGUUCCGGGAACUGACGAGGUAAACAAACAAAAGUUAGAAAGUUGCUUAGAACGCCCUGUUCUCAGAAGAAAUGGAAGAAAACAUGCAAAUGCAUUCCAAAAUUUGUCUAAAAAUGAAAUUAGGGAGACGGCAGACAAAUGUCCUGAUUAAACAGCAGUUGUACCUUUCUCGCCUGAAAGAUUUCAUCUUAAAAAGAAGCAGAAAGAAACUAGAGGUGGCUUCAAAUCCUUAAGUCCAAGACUCAAGAACAGCCCGUCAAUCAUGAGACCACAACCCUAUUUGAGGCCAAUUUACCUUAGAAUGGAAAAGAUUGAGUCCAUCUUUAAAGCAUAAGCUUCCAAAUUGUUUUUUCCAUCGAUGAAAGAAACAUCAAAACAACAAUUAACCUUCCUUCAACCCAACUGAGCCAACAGGGACCAAUCAGAAGCGAGGGGACAUCGGACGCUUUCCUGGCACUGCAAGUGUGUGUUGGGCAGCCCAGAGCAUGCAGCGGCCACACCCUGCGCUCGCUCAACCACACGUGCACAUACUGAGAGCAUGUCGCUUCAAGAACACACGUUUCAGCUCGAGACCCACUCUUCUGGCUGCAUCUGCUGUGAGCGCCGUCUGGUUUCAGGCGACAGAGUCCUCCUCGAGUCAGAACUCCAGAAGACUCGGACUGACUAGAGAUGAUCGUCUGCAAAAACGGAAUCUCAGGAAAGUAAAAAGACACUUGUUUAAAAAAAUGUUGUAUUUUCUGUCUACAAACACACAUAAAAAAUCAUCUUAUCAUGAAAAAUAAUCUUAGUUUAAGAAGACAUUCUCAAUUCUCAAUUCUCAACUACCACAGAAACAGAAAUAACUGACAAGAUUUUUUCACUAGAUCCAUCCAGGAGGGGUCUUAUUUCUAUACUAUAUAACAUUAUGUUGAACUUUAAAUGUUCCUCUGUGGAUAAAUUUAAGAUGGCUUGGGAAAAAGAUAUUGGCCUUGCUAUAUCAGAUGAUACUUGGGUUUCUGCUCUUAAACUGGUAAACUCAUCUUCAUUUUGUGCUCGACACCAACUAAUUCAGUUCAAGGUGGUACAUCGGGUCCAUAUUUCCAGGGUAAAGCUGGCUUCUAUGUACCCCACAGUUAGUCCACUAUGUACAAGAUGUAAUCUUACAGAUGCCUCUCUGUAUCAUAUGUUCUUUUCAUGCCCUCAUUUGAAUGCAUAUUGGAGGACAAUUUUUGACACAAUGUCUCGUGUAUUUAACACAAAUUUAAAACCAAAUCCAUUAACAGCCAUUUUUGGGGUUGUGGAGGACCAAGCUGUUUCAGGUACUGCCAAAAAACACUGUAUAGCCUUUGCAUCACUCCUGGCACGACGUGCUAUACUGCUUAAAUGGAAAGAUACCUCUCCCCCGUCUUAUUCACAGUGGCUACAGGAUAUCAUGUCCUGUUUAAAACUGGAGAAAAUUAGGUGUUCACUCAAAAGGUCUCCUGAUAUGUUUGAAGAAUUAUGGGGUCCCUUUUUGAGAACAUUUCCAGCUCUUUAGUCAUACAAGCCUACAGCAGCUUAGCUGCAUGUGGUAGCAUAUAGUACAGGUCAUGCGUGAUGGAGUGAUGGUUUGACUGUGGCAGUGACAGGGAAUGGUAUGGUUUUUUUUUUGUUUCUUUUUGUUUUCUUUCCUUAGCUUUAUUAUAAACACUUCUUGUAGUAAUUUGUCUUUCAGACUAACAGAACUCUGUAAUUGUGUUUGUAUAAUGUAAAACUCAAUAAAAAUACUGGGUUUAAAAAAAAAAGAAGACAUGUCUUAGUCACUAGACUGUUGAAGACUAUAUUCUAAUCCCAGAGGCAACAUUGUGUUCCUUAUUUAAAAGAAAACUUAAAAAAUGUUGAAAAUAAUUCUAGGGGGCCUGUUUUUACAGUGUAAUAAAAAUGUGGGCGGGGUUCCUCUGCUAAACUACAGAACCAGUUUUAUUUACUGUAUUUUCCAGCGCUUUAAUUUGUUUUUGUUUUUUUAAACAAUAGUACACCUUAUAGUCUGGAGCACCGUAUGUUAUUAUUCUUAUUAAUUAUUAAUUUUGAUUGAGUGAAGAGAUUUAGAGAGCUAAACGGCGCUCUGUCAAAACGUCCGUCUGUUUUUUUUGGCCGUCAUUGUGAGCGUAGUAAUGUCGGGCAGUUAUAAAUUUAUUUUACGAGUUAUUAAUAAGGUUGGGAGUUACAGAUACUGUUAAUACGCCAACAUGGCUAACGCUUCUAACAUGGAUAACGUGUUGCGUGUUACAGACAAGUUCUGAGUUAAAGUCUGACUGACGGACUUUCGGACCGUUUCGUCUCGCUUAAUGCGUCUUUUAGUUCGGUUAUAGUACGAAUCGAACUAUACUCACUAACUUAUUGAAAUUCCAAUAAAGAAUAGGACAUUCAAAGAUACAUUUGUCUCAUUUUUCCAUUUAAAGAACCUGUUGAUUUAAAAAAGAACAAACCCAAAUUUUUCAUAAAAAAACAUUUUUACAUCAACAACAAAAGAAAAGGACUUCAAUGUCCGACAAAUCCUUAAAGAACUUUUGAUUAAAAUCACAUUCAGCAUAGAUCAAUUACAUUUAAUUUUUCUAGGGAGUGGGGGGAGUGAAUUUAUAUAACCCCACCGUGUUGCUGCUGCAAAAAAAUAAAAUAGAAAUAAAACUUUCAAUUAAAUGGGCAAAAAUCUGCCAAUGGUGUAAGAAAAAUCGUCUAUUUUUUACCCUUAAAAAUUGUAUUUGGAUUGUUUUUCUUGCAACAAAGAAGUCAAAUAUUCUUGAAUUGAGGUUCUUUUUAUUCUCCUUUUAUUUUGUUUGUGCACCUAUACACUUUUGUCAUUCAGAUUCUAAGCAGUAAAUUGGAAUAAAGCAUCUUCUAAAAUGUGGAGUGCAUGUCUGUCAGACACGAUGACAACAUUUUAUAUACAGUCUGAGGAAGCUAAUUUUCUUCAUGGCUGUUCUGGUCGACACAACUGUCAACACGUGGUCGAUGGCGUGUUCCGACAUUCUGCUGGUGAAAAUCCCUUUGUUCCCUUCGGCUCGUGUGACGGACGGCUUCAGAGUACGUGUUCCCCAACACGCGUGUGCAUGUGCUGACGAUCCUCACUUUGAGCAGCCAGUCGUCAGACUGCUAGAAAAAUCACGGCAUGCACGUGUGUAAUUAUAGAAUCCAUUUAAGGGCAGAAAAUGAGGGUGGAUAAAUCACUGCGUUCGGUUACAGCUGUUGAGUUUGUUGCUGCUUUUAUGAGUGUAAACAACCUUAAAUCAUCUAAAUGUAUUACUGUUCACUUCCAUUUUAAAACCUGUUUACACACAUUUACACCGAUACAAAGAUAUGUAUCCGAGUAAAUCUGUCUCUGCUCGAUUAAACUGAUAGAAGACGCCCUACUAACAAAAACUUUAGUUCUGAAGUGUUUUUCUUCUGUUCUAAAUCAAAAAAUAAAAUAAAAGCAUAAUUCAAUAAAAACAGAACUGCACUUUGAAACUUAUUUUGGACAUUAAAGCUUCAACAGGAUUUGUCAGUCAUGUAUUCUGCAGGUUAUUCCUCCUAAAAACACGAGUUUAAUGCAAAGUUAGAUUUUCUGAUUGGUUUAAGAAUUUCUUUGAAAGCAGCAUUUUUGAAGCUAUUGUUGUUUUUCCUAUUGUAUUCACUCAGCAAGUACUUUUUUUUAUUAUACAGUUUUUCUUAAAAUUCCUAUUUUUAAGCUAAGAAAUAUAUAUUUUUUUUUGCCAAAUACUAAAUGUUUACUGGAUAGUUCCCAUAAAAAAAUAAAAAAUAAUGUUUAUGUAGGUAUCCUUGUUUGUUUUAAACUCCCGGCGCUGAAAAGAGAAUCCCAGAACUGCAAGUACUUUUUGAAGUCCCCAAAGCCGACCAAAAACCUGCAUGUGUUUGAACGUUGGCUUAGGCAGACAAAUACCAGCCGAGCAAUGGGGGGUGAGACGUGACAGACGGGGACCAACAGGAGAGCAGAGCCUGCAAAAAUGCACACGGAUUACGGUCACAAAGAAAAUAAAUAAAUACAUGCUACAUGUGAAAUUUUAACCAAUCGUAAUAGUAUUUUAUCUGGAAGCUGUUGUAUCCUUUACCCUACUAGGAUGUAGUUUCAUAAUAUCAAGAUAAGGUCCAGCAAAGUAGGGGUGUGUGUGAACAGACAGCACAACAAGGCAGCAGACUAAGCAUGAGCGUGCUUCACCCUGUCCUGCGGGCAUCGAUCCAGUGGCCUAAAAUUAUACCCCCUCCAAAGUGUGCACGGACGUGCAUGGGUCACAACAAAUGUGAGCCAGAGGGACGAAGAUCCAUGAAACAUUCAUGGCAAUACCGACAGGGGGGCGCUAACUUAAACUGGAUUUAGAGUGGGCGUGCAAUCGUGCACAUUUUUGCAUGACUAAACUGUCACACAAACAAGAUAAGGUGGGCGGAGCCUUCUUUGGAGGCUUGUUGAGCUACAACCAAUCUCUGUAGGUGGGCUUGUCCUUCCCUGUCUGGACUAUAGUUCCUCCAGGGAAAGUGAAAAUAAGAAAUGGAGGCUGGAAGGAAGGGGAAAAAAAAAAGGUCGAGGAGGACGGGAGGUUCCUGCAAAAACAGGUCUGUGGGUCACAAAGGUUCAUAAAAAUGCCCCCUCUGAAAACCACUAGUGGCUGUUGAAGCUCAUCACACGGAUCCACUGCAGAUGGCGAAGCACCACAUAGGUGUUUUUACAGGCUGGAAGUCCGCUUUGCCUCAAACAACUCAAGUUGGGCCUCACAAACUGGAAUUGGCACAACAAAGCCAAAAACAAAGUCCACCUUUUUCUUUAUGACACUUACAAAAUUCAAUUAUUUCCACAUCACGCUGAUUUGAACCAAUGUUUGAUUUUGAGCUUUUAUCCAAAAGAACAGCAGCUUUUCAACAAGAACAAACGGCUAAAAGCUGCUAGAAAGAUGAUUUCAAAGCCAUCGCAAUGAAGUCCAAUCUGUCUGCAUGAAUGUUAGUUAUGGUAGAUUAAUAAAUAAAAUAUCAAAGCA
Oryzias latipes (Japanese medaka) is the source of this 6905-nucleotide long non-coding RNA. RefSeq lists it as uncharacterized. The record is from RefSeq and is a predicted model, not a curated record. NCBI's taxonomy places the organism in Eukaryota, Metazoa, Chordata, Actinopteri, Beloniformes, Adrianichthyidae.